Molecule: long non-coding RNA, 1290 nt
Organism: Urocitellus parryii (Arctic ground squirrel)
Lineage: Eukaryota; Metazoa; Chordata; Mammalia; Rodentia; Sciuridae
Source: Ensembl
CCCACGCGGUUUCCUUCCGGCUUCCCUGCUGCUGUCGGCUGGGAGAGCUCUGGUUUGUUUUGACUCUGGAGUUCUCCAACAGAAAUAUUGAAAAGGACUAAACCAAUUCUUGCCGUUCUAAAACCAUGGCCCAUAACUCCAUCCAAGAACCUGCUCCAAUUUCUCUCAUUCCUGAGAGGACUGGGGACAGAGAACCCAUCCAUGCCUUCCCUUCUUCACUAGUGUUGACCAUCACCCAUCUUCAGAACCUUCUGUCAAAAGCAAAAGUGGAAUGCCUUGAGAAAAUAUAGUACUUUCUCUGCAGAAUGUCCCUCUUUUUAACAUUUUCCAUUGGAAUGACUUUUGAUUUUAAUUCUUAAACUUCAGAAAAAAAUGUAUUUCCCUUAAUACAGUGAUUUUUGAUCUAGCUUUAUAUAGAAAAACUUAUGUCCCUGGUUUGUGGCAUUUUCAAAAAGUAAGGAUGUUUCAUGGAAUUUAGCAUAUAAACAGAGAAGCACACAAAUCUUAAGUGUUGAGCUGAAUGAAUUUUCUUAAAUUGAGUACAUUUAUGGUUCCAGAUCAAGAAAGGAGUAUUACUAGCACCUCAGAUGCCCCUCUUUCAGUCACUCCUUAUAUAACCACUAUCCUGACUUUGAACAUCGCAAAGUAGUUUUGCUUAUAUUUAGAACUAUAAAUGGAGUCAUAUAGUUCAUUGGUAUUUUUUAAAAUACUAAUCUUUUAAAACAAAAACACUUCCUGGAAGAGUCUAGUUGUAUUCCACAUGUAAUUGCUAGACCACCAGAAUCACCUAUAGAUGUUUUAAAAUAUAUGUGUCAUUAAAGGAAAUGUGUAUAUCUGAUGCUGCUGGUGGUAAAGUAGGCACCUGAGCAUCAGAUGAAUGUGGGUCAUUCCUACUAUUAUGUCCUUGUUGGAAAUUUUUUUCAUAGUGUAUUGCACAUGUUAAGCCCUUGGUUUUUUCCUAGCAUAAAAUGAGGGGUUAUUUAAAAUUUAUUUUUUAGUUGUAAUUGGACACAAUACCUUUAUUUCACUUAUUUAUUUUUAUGUGGUGCUGAGGAUCGAACCCAAGGUCUUGCACAUGUGAGGCGAGUGCUCUACCGCUGAGCCACAACCUCAGCCCAUAAAAUUAGUUUUUUAAAGGUUGGAAACAAUUGAAAAUUGUGGAGAAAGAUGCAAAGCAAAUGAGAAAUAUUAAUUUAGUAAAAAAUUCUAAAGAUGAUGUAUAAGCUCUGACCCACUAUUUAUUACAAUUCUGUGUUGGAGGAAAAUCUUGUGAAGCUAAUUGGAAGGUUG